GUGCCAGCCGCCGCGGUAAUACGUAGGGGGCAAGCGUUGUCCGGAUUUACUGGGCGUAAAGCGCGCGUAGGCGGAAGAUUAAGUCCGAUCUGAAAGCCCCCGGCUCAACCGGGGAGGGUGGUUGGAAACUGGUCUUCUUGAGGGCGAGAGAGGGGAGUGGAAUUCCUGGUGUAGCGGUGAAAUGCGUAGAUAUCAGGAGGAACACCCAUGGCGAAGGCAGCUCCCUGGCUCGACCCUGACGCUGAGGCGCGAAAGCGUGGGGAGCGAACGGGAUUAGAUACCCCUGUAGUCC
This 292-nucleotide ribosomal RNA is filed under the name uncultured bacterium. RNAcentral describes it as "partial 16S ribosomal RNA". It matches the Rfam family "Bacterial small subunit ribosomal RNA", at positions 505 to 796 of the family's 1533-position model. The record is from RNAcentral.